Molecule: non-coding RNA, 251 nt
Filed under: Staphylococcus aureus
Lineage: Bacteria; Bacillati; Bacillota; Bacilli; Caryophanales; Staphylococcaceae
Description: Staphylococcus sRNA 35 (srn_0335)
Rfam family: Staphylococcus sRNA 35 (srn_0335)
About the family: Other name: Srn_0335, SAOUHSCs258. Northern blot transcript confirmed in exponentially growing and stationary cells in three cultivation media.
Source: RNAcentral
GUAAAUGCCAAUAGGAGUGGGACAGAAAUGAUAUUUUCGCAAAAUUUAUUUCGUCGUCCCACCCCAACUUGCAUUGUCUGUAGAAAUUGAGAAUCCAAUUUCUCUUUGUUGGGGCCCCGCCAACUUACAUUGUCUGUAGAAAUUGGGAAUCCAAUUUCUCUUUGUUGGGGCCCCGCCAACUUGCAUUGCCUGUAGAAUUUCUUUUCGAAAUUCUCUGUAUUGGGGGCCCCGCCAAGGUAUUACUUGAAUAA